UGUAGACACAUAUUGAUAUGCCUCUACCAUUCAGCAGUCAAAAUGAACUUCUGGAGAUAUUCAUCAGUUCUACCUGCCCUUGAGGAAGGCUGAAAAGAUCUUUUAGGUUCUCCUCAGGCUUCAAGAAGGUGAAAUUCCUGCGUGAAAGCCACUCUCCCUAUACAAGAAAGAAGGCAACAUCCUUAUCUUCAAGGACAAGAAGUCAAGGCUCAGGGCUGAGACAACACUGCACAGACCUUGUUGGAAUAACUCAUCUUUUCAGUCUCUCACAUAAUUUAGUUGCCUCUUCACAGCAUACUACUCUGUGUCCAAUUCAGUAAACAGUACCCUUAACUUCUUCUUUGGUCUUCACUUCUUUAUGAAGGCUUCUAUGCCACAUAAAAUUUGCAUUACAUAAGUGUGUAUGCAUUUCUCCUGUUGGUCUGUCUUAUGUCAAUUUAAUUCUCAAGCCCAGCCAAAAGAAACCCUAAAGGGGAAGCUCGCCUACAAUAGCCUUUCCUUCUGAGCUCAUUUGGCAGCAGCUAAUUAGGAUAUUGCCUUAUUUGUUCUCUAUCUGCCCCCAGCGGCAACAGGCUGAGAAAGUGAAACUCUUACUCCUGGUUACUGCAGAAAGGGGAAAUAGAGGAUGAACUGGGAAUGGUGCAAUUCAUAGAGAAAUUCAACUUAAUAAAGGGCUAAACAGUCACGUGUACACAAGAAGCAAACAGUUACUAUGAAUUAAUUGAUUCAAGCAUAAGACAAGAGGGAGUCACAGAAACUGCAAAUUAGAAAAGAAUACAGUUGGUCACUGAAGGCAUUUAAAUUUAAAGGAAAAUAAUUACGAGGUUCAAAACAGACAAACAAAUGAAAAACAACAAUAACAAAAUGUGUAUCUGUGGCCAGAUAAAUUCCAUGGGCCCCCAAUUAGUUUCUUCUUUAUUAAAAAGACAGAAUAAGUCAUAGACAAGAUGAGCACCUGGCUUUAUAAAUGAAUUAAUGUAGUAAAUAUACUGAAGGAAAGCAUAUGCCAGUAAUAGAAAGAAUAAAAAUCAAACAAAAAUUUAAGUCAGAGAGGCAAGUAUUUGUAAGGGCUAGCCAAUUUCCUAACUCUAUGGGAGAGGUAACUACAAAAAUUAUUCCUAAAACCUGAUUUUUCUCAGGCCUUGAAAAUUUGCAGGCUCCUAAAGUUUAAAGCACAUUUUAGGAAACGCUGUGUAACAC
RNAcentral lists this long non-coding RNA (1200 nucleotides) under Homo sapiens (human). RNAcentral describes it as "HSALNT0072905". Lineage: Eukaryota; Metazoa; Chordata; Mammalia; Primates; Hominidae. The record is from RNAcentral.